Long non-coding RNA from Acipenser ruthenus (sterlet), 361 nucleotides. RefSeq lists it as uncharacterized. The record is from RefSeq and is a predicted model, not a curated record. Lineage: Eukaryota; Metazoa; Chordata; Actinopteri; Acipenseriformes; Acipenseridae. The transcript is spliced from 3 exons.
UUAUUUAUUUAAAAUUAUAUAUUUUCAUAUUUAAUAGAUAUCCAGGAACUUCUUGAAGAACAUUUAAUUUCACACCAGGAGGAAGUAAUUGAACAGCCUCCUACGGUCGUUCCCCUCUCACCUACUUUCGUUCCAUUGUCCCCAACUUGGUUUUUGGAGAAUCAGAAUGAUACGAUCCCGGGCCAUAGCAUAUCCCUUGAGAUACCACGCAAUUUAGUCGUGCCUGAGGACUUUUUAAAUAAUUUCUCAGUGAUAGCAGAAACGCAUAAAAAAGCAGAAUAUAUUGAAGAUUCUGAACAUCUGGAACAGUACUUCAUGACAUCUUUCAGUGACCUAGCGUCAGACUCCGAAUUGUCUAAAA